UAGGGAAUCUUCCACAAUGGACGCAAGUCUGAUGGAGCAACGGCCGCGUGAGUGAAGAAGGUUUUCGGACCGUAAAGCUCUGUUGUUGGUGAAGAAGGAUAGAGGUAGUAACUGGCCUUUAUUUGANGGUAAUCAACCAGAAAGUCACGGCUAACUACGUGCCAGCAGCCGCGGUAAUCGUAGGUGGCAAGCGUUGUCCGGAUUUAUUGGGCGUAAAGCGAGCGCAGGCGGAAGAAUAAGUCUGAUGUG
RNAcentral lists this ribosomal RNA (249 nucleotides) under uncultured bacterium. Its description in RNAcentral is "partial 16S ribosomal RNA". It matches the Rfam family "Bacterial small subunit ribosomal RNA", at positions 355 to 596 of the family's 1533-position model. The record is from RNAcentral.